GAGUGCUAGCCCUCGGGCCGGUUGGCCUUGCGGGGUGCAGGGGCAGAGCGGGGAAGGCGGUGGCUGUACUGACCCGAGUUCUCCUCGGCCUAGGGAGCGGCGGCCUCAGCCCCGGGACGCGUGAGGGCACGUUCAGGACCCCCAGGGCCAGGGGCUCCUGAGCCGCCCGCCUACGUGAACAUCCCCGUCAGCCCCUCGUCCCGGCAGCAGCUGCACUACAUGGGCCUGGAGCUGCAGGAGGCCGGCCUGGGCGUCCGAGGUGGGGGCUGGUGCCUCGCGUUACGCACAGAUAGACAUUUCAUCCACGGAGGCGGCACAUCGGGCUGGGGCCCAGCACGCCCAGGAGCGGCUGUCGGAGCUGGAGCAGCACAGGAGGGGCGGCCCACGGUGAGGCCCUGGCUGGACAUCUGCGGGGUGGCCUCUGUCUCCGGGAGCCUGGCCCUCAGAGCUCGGGCUGAGGCUGUGACCAGCACCCAGGCUGCAGCGGAGGGACCUCGGGCCCCGGUUCCUGGAGUGAUGAGGUGGAAGGCUCUGGGUCCAGGCCGGCCACCACAGCGAGGGGACCCACGCGAGGGCUCUUCUCCCUCUGGCUCCGUCCACUGGUGCCCGGCCAAGCCUCCCUGUCCAGAGAGGCGCUGCCCCCAGCUGUCACUCAGGCUGUGGAGCAGACUCUGAGCCUGGAGUGCAGGCUGCUCUCCCAUCGGGAUGAGGGACAGCUCAGAGGAAGGCAGGGCAAGCUGGUCCCCACCCUCUGGGACUUGGGCUGGGACGCGCUGCUCCAGCCUGGCCCUGUCCUCUGCACACCCCUCCGGGGGCCCCGCCUCUCGGGCUGCGGCGCCCUGGGCCUGAGGACUGAGGUGGCAGGGGUCGGAAGGCCUGUGGCCCCGGUCAGUGCCCGCGUGGCCCAGGGAUGGGCCAACUGCCGUGCUGCUCGGGACCCACAGUUAGCUCAGAGUGUGAACUCCUACUCUCCAUUUUUUCUUUUUGGUACCGGGGAUUGAACUUGGGUCCUUGCGCUUGCGCAGCAGGCAGCAAAACCACUGAGCUAACCCCGGCCCCUACUGUCCAUUUUUAACAAUGCAUAUUCUUUUCCUGAA
RNAcentral lists this long non-coding RNA (1097 nucleotides) under Heterocephalus glaber (naked mole-rat). RNAcentral's name for it is "lncRNA (ENSHGLG00000039132.1)". The record is from RNAcentral. Lineage: Eukaryota; Metazoa; Chordata; Mammalia; Rodentia; Bathyergidae.